CAGCCGCCGCGGUAAUACGGAGGGUGCAAGCGUUAUCCGGAUUUAUUGGGUUUAAAGGGUCCGUAGGCGGAUCUGUAAGUCAGUGGUGAAAUCUCACAGCUUAACUGUGAAACUGCCAUUGAUACUGCAGGUCUUGAGUAAAUUUGAAGUGGCUGGAAUAAGUAGUGUAGCGGUGAAAUGCAUAGAUAUUACUUAGAACACCAAUUGCGAAGGCAGGUCACUAAGAUUUAACUGACGCUGAUGGACGAAAGCGUGGGGAGCGAACAGGAUUAGAUACCCCUGUAGUCCCUGUCUCUUAUAA
Molecule: ribosomal RNA, 301 nt
Filed under: uncultured bacterium
Lineage: Bacteria
Description: partial 16S ribosomal RNA
Rfam family: Bacterial small subunit ribosomal RNA
Source: RNAcentral